GGCCAUAGCUCAGAGGCAGGGCAUCCAAUGCUUUGCAUGCAGAAGGUUCAAGGUUCAAAUCUUGGCACCACCA
Molecule: non-coding RNA, 73 nt
Organism: Podarcis lilfordi (Lilford's wall lizard)
Lineage: Eukaryota; Metazoa; Chordata; Lepidosauria; Squamata; Lacertidae
Source: the annotation of a GenBank genome assembly